UGGCUGUUUUGAUUUAAAAUUUUACUUUGGCGGUUACAAAGUCGUAUCCUCACGACUUUAGAAGUUAAAAGAGCCACAAUAACCUGUGGUCGCGAGUGAUUUAGGCGUAACCACCAAUCUGCAGCUGGUCAACGCCUCCAUACAGUUUGUAAACAAUCGCAUUUUGGAUCUUUUUCUUCAAGUUACGGUUCUUUCACGGCUCUCUGAAGGCGAAUUAAUGUAUUUUAACUUAAUUAGCGUAAGCAUUUUCGACGUCAACAGCCAUAAUGGUUACUCCUGGCCUCAAAACUGAUCUCGGAGUGGCUCCUGGAGCUGUCAAUGACGAGAGCGAAAUCAAACACUACAUAUAUUUCGGCUGCAAGGUUGCCAUCAACGCAUCAUGAAUUUAUCGAAUUUAUAUCAAUUCCUGAUUGCCGUACGUUCGCUCCGAAGGCGCUCAACUCACUUUGGCUGACGGAGAGACCACAAGCCACGUCGUGGGAACUUUCUACCGCACAAUCUAGCUGGUUGCGAAUGGCAUCAAGCUUGUGUAUCUUCGUUUUUGGUGGGAAGCAUCCGGAGCUCAAGUCAGGAGAGCUGUGAAAAAGACCAGAGCGAAGGCAGGAGGCACAGAGAACCCUUGGAAAGGCUGAAGAAGCGGAUGACGCCGAGCAGGUGGACAAGUUCAACAGCGAUUAGUCAAGGCGACCAGAAGCCACCCUUAGAGGAGUGCAAGAAAAUGCUGUCACUCAUGGGGACACUCUUUGUUGAUGCAAACCUGCUGUCACUCUUGCGCUUGCGAAUUGUAAACCCUGAGUUCAUGCACAAGCAGGCCCCUUGCGAAGCGAAAGCAUUGGUAAAAUGAGGGAAGGUUUUUGCCACUGAAGACAUUGACGCUUUGAACUUUUGCAAACAUUUCGCUCGGGCACAUGACCUUGAGUGAGGCCAGGAAGAUGCCCAAUCAUGAGUUCCACCUGGACAAAGUUUGAUCUGGACUAGAGCUUAUCAAGGAACAGUUCAUCGCCCUGUGCAUUCUCCUCGAAUGCGACUCGAUUAAAGGCGUUGGAUCGAAAAGGGCCAUUGAACUGAUCAGGAGCAACGGCAGCUAGCAUUGAACAGAUUGUCAACAACCUGGACAAGCCGUACAAAGUGUCCGAGAAAAGAAAAAAAAACUACUCGAGGAAAGUUUUCGUGGAACCCGAGAUGAGAUCCAGGGAAAAUAAUUAAGCUGAAGGGGACAGACUUCAAUAUCUGUGUGUCGAAAAGAGGGAGAAGCUGAAACUGGUGCUCAUGUUCAAGAAAGAAAUGAAUGGAGCAGUGAAAUCAGGCGAGAUCAGGACUUCCUGCCUAAAGUGCAGCUUAAGGAGACGCUUAAGAGAAAGCAGGACGCUGGAGCACCUCCAGGAACCAGCUGGCUCGUCUUCAACCAAGAAGGCCUUUCACCAGGUUCUGCGAUUGUCCCUCUAAGCUCUGGGAAAGUGGAGCCUAGCUUUCCCGCAAUUUGUUCGGCUACAAAACGCAAUCCAGCAUGGUAAGCCGGGUCAGCUUCCGAGUCUGGAGGCAUCCAACAAAUUGGGACCUGUUUCACUGUAUCUUCUUCUUCGUCCCCCUCAAACGUAAUGACUAGCUCUUCAUCAUCUUCCUCGUCUUCCUCAUUUUCUUCCUCUACCACUUCACUCCAGUCGUCUUCACCUUGCUCUUCCUCAGGGCUUGCUUGGUUUUCAAUUGAUUCAAUGUUUUCUUUCCCUGCUUGUCCAUCCUUACUCAAAGCGCUUACUUCUCUCAGGCUCUGUGAGGAAGUUUAAAAUUAAGGUUAAAUGAUGGUAUUUUUCAUGGCCUACUCGAGAAAGUUUCCAGAUAAAAAUAUUUAAUUUACGGCAGUUAAAUUGAAUAGGUCUAAUUCUUUGACUCCUAAAGAGGAUUGAUGCCAUGAAAAAGCCUGGAAAAUCCUUAUUACCAAUACAUGAACUCGUCUCUUAUUUAGGAUUCAAUUAAAGCUAAAAUUGAUUUAAAUAAGAGCAGUGUAAAUUUGAGACUACUGUUGAGAUUUUUUAUGUUAAAAACUGUACGCCAUGAUUGAUUUGAUAAAUAUAAUUUUUGAAAUUUAAACUCACGAUUAAAGACAGGAAAUUAAUGCCUUCUUUUUCCAGUGCCUCCUGCAUUGCAACAUUAGAUUUUUUUGAGCCCAUGCUAAAGUUGUUGCACAGGAGCAACUUCUUAAUUCUGCUUUCAGCCUCAACUGCAUCUGGGCGUGUGUUCGGGCCAAAGUGUGUCCUGAAAAGCCCGAAGAAACGUUCCAAAACAUCUUGGCUAAUUCUGGAACAACUUGGUUUGUUCCUCCAGCUCUCUUCCAAAUGGCAGCAUCUCUGGCGGAAUUUGUUCUGUAGGCGCGUUUGAAUUUCUGGUGAGAUCUUUAGUCACGCCAUAGAGAUGCUGAUAUGUGGCUCCUGUGCGACAAACUACUGCUGUUGCCUAUAACAAAGCUAAUUUUUUAUAAAAUUCAAACGUUAUUAAUGAAACUUGCAUUGAAUAUAGCCCUGUCUCCUGGUCUUCUCUCAGCCAUAGCUUCUAAUGCAUCAGCCACUGGAUGAGAUAGGGUCUCAAACGCCAGCUGGCACCUUUGUUUCUCACACCCUUGCACAUUCAAAUGUUGCUGCUUCAAUGGAUGUCCAGCCAUCUCGAGGUGAGCUGUCUCGUCGACUAGCUCUUGUAAAGCAAAUUUUGAUGCCACACACUCUUUGCGUGUCUUUUCUAGUGCAAGCCCGCCCUCCAGCAGAUGGUUUCGAAUAAGUUUGGUGCAGUGUGGUGGGUCUGGGACGACAAAAAUUUUCCCCUCUCCACUUGGGCUUUGAAAGAAGGGCUUGUCCUCGUCCACGCUCAAAGUUUUGAGGAGACUCAUGUUUUCUCGGCCAAGGUCGCAAGCGAGAGUCAAGACUGUGAAACCUGCAUCUGCGAGCGUGGUGAUGAUUUCAAACAGUAGCUUUUUCGUCAUGGGGCAUCCUCCUUUAAAAAAAACAGUCUGUGUCCACUUUGCGAACAAGCCGCUUGCCUGCACGACUUGUAGGUUGCGGUAGGGUCCGACCAUUUGGUCCCUGCCCCUGUGGUAAUUGACCUUGUAGUCAAGAGCCACUUCAUCGAAGCAUAGGCAGCAAAUUCGCUCCUUCUCUUCCAUCGCUUUCCCUGCACACUCCAUGAGCCGAAUGAUGUCUAAGAGAAUUCCUGGCUUAAUAUCCAGCUUGGAAAGUAACUUCUGCAGAGUGGACUCGCACGCAAGCGGGAUCUUCAGGGUCCUUGCAAUUUUGUAAGCCCUUGGACUGGCGGUGUAAAGUGACAGGUGCUCCGUCAGGCUUUUGUCCGUCCACUUCGUGUUCCUGUUGUACAGUAUUCUGUCAAUUUGUGGCGUUGAAAAUUGUUUAUUCAACAUCUCCAUAAUUUUAUGGCGAUUUUGCUGCUCAGUCUUCAAUUUGUUGUUUGCAGUCACUGCAUUUGCUUCUGUAUUUUUUAUUUUUUUGGUUAAGUUGACGACCUCUUUUUUCAACGCCUCCUUCUCCUUGUCAGCUUUAUUCAAGGCCUCACUGACAUCACUCAAGAACCUCCUAAAAUAUUUUGACUCUCUGUUAUUCAUCUUAUAUUAUUGGUAAACGCAUUCGUGGGCAUAUUUCCAUUUUUUAAUUUAUUGUUCUUUUCCUUUUAAUGGAGUUCCUUUUCAGGAUUUGAAUUUAGUUUAAAAUUGAAUAUGCAAUCUUUGUUAAUUUCAUUUUUGAUUUUUUAACUUUUAAUUCAGUUUUGAAAUUACCUGCUCACUACCUCGCAAGGAUAUUUUUCAUGCCAGUUGGGGCCUUUGGCAGCGUGAUCAGGGAUUUCCAGCUGAUACAGGCGUUCAAUUAGCCUGUUAAACAUUAAUUACCGCCCAUUAAAAUAUCUUUCAAUUAUCAUUUUAACUAAUAUUGACUUUUCAUAGCUCGCUGAAGUUUGGAACCCAACAGAGGUGAUCAGAUUAAAGAUAGACGACGACGACGACGCCGAGCUGUUGAGAUGCUCAUCUGUUGAUUCUGACUGACGACCAUCAAUUGAUGUCUCUAGUGAGAUAUUUUCUUGGGUAUCAAGUUGUUUGCUGAGCUACUUAAGCUACUUUCGUCUAGACCUGCCUCAACGAAUAAGCCAUGCUCAUGGUCAUUGUCAUCACUACCAGGCAAAUCAGUUCUCUUCCCUUUCCUGCUAAAUAGUCAUACUAUUGAAAUGUACAACAAUGGACGUUGGAUUGAGAACCGUUGCUGGCUUGUCCCGGCAAGCAUUGGUCUGGCACGGCUGCGGGCAGAAGAAUCUUGCCAUUGUUGAGAGCUUCACCCGUCUUCAAGAGCCGCUCUAAUUUUGCAGUGUAUAGCUGUGCUGGACUAAAAUGCCGAGAACAGACCCUUGUGGUAUUCCAAUUUGUGGUCGUGACAUCGAUUUUCAAGCUUUUGCUCCAUGGUUCUCUCAAUUUGCUAGGUACUCGAAACAGGCGAACGCCAACCACUGGAUGAACCUAUAUGAUGUGUUAUUUUAAUUCCAAUCUGUAGUUAACAGUUCAUUUAAUGCUAAAAGUGUACAAAAGAUGACAAAUUUUCCAAAUUUUGGAAGCUUCUCAUUGUUCACUGCUUUUUUACGCCUCUUGAGAAAAUUCAGUUUAAUUCAAUCCUUUGCAAAAAUGAACUUAAAACAUUUAUAUCUCAAUAAUUUAUAUUUUCACCUUCAAAUUUUUAUUGAUAGUUUAUAUUCUCAAUAAUUCAUUUUAUUAGCUUAUUAUGCUUAUUUAUUUGUACUAUCUAUCUAGCGUGUGGUGGAAUUAUUUUUGUUUUAAAAAAUGUGAAUUCAAAAUUGGAUGAAUUUAAUUAUUAAUUUAACCAUGCUGUCAACUAUGUAUUAUCUGUUUCAAUUUACCAAUUCAAACUGUGUCCUGCUGUACGUAGUCCUGUUUCUAGUACGGCAACCAUUCACUGCACACUGCAUAGCUUUAUAGGGAUUCCUUAAUGAAAUAUCAUUAGUGUCUUAAAAAUUAAUUUUUAUUUUCAGUACAUUGCCUAUUUGCUACAAUUUGUUAAAGGUACAAACACAUAUUUCAUAUUUCUAAAUCAGUACAAUUUUAGUGACACAAAUAAAGUUUUUCUGCACUUACUUA
Molecule: long non-coding RNA, 5137 nt
Organism: Cloeon dipterum
Lineage: Eukaryota; Metazoa; Arthropoda; Insecta; Ephemeroptera; Baetidae
Exons: 10
Source: RefSeq, a predicted model, not a curated record